GCCUCACACGCCACCCAGCGAUGGGGCAGGGGCCGCGGCCGCCUUGUCCCCGAGCCGGCGCGCCCGCUGCCCCGCCUCUUCCCUUCUCUGUGAAACUGCCGCCGAGCUUUCUUCCCGCCGAGGGCGCGCGGAAUUCGCUGUGCUGCUUUCUUUAUUCGUGCCCAGACAAAUAAUGGAUCAAGGCAAUGGUCACCAAGGCCACUAACAUCACAGAAAAGAUCACUAGACAUUGUGUGCCAUCUGAUGGAAAUACACACCACCACAGAAAGAGCAAACCUGAGUCUGAACCAGCUUCUAGAUCCAACUACCAGUUUAUAAGAACUUCUGGAAUAGAGGAAUACGUUAAACAAUCCUACUAACAGGCGCACCACGAAGCCCCAGAAAGAGACUUGUUUCCAGCCUGGACUUUGCUACCCGCUGUCUGCAUGAUCCUGAAAUUUACACCGAACCUUUCUGAGACUCAGCUUUAGUCUCCUCACCCUUUGACUCACUCGGCCACUCCAUUUCUAGGUAUCUAUCUCCCCUGCCCCCCAGUACUCACACAGUAUUGAAAGAAAUAUAUAUUCAAGGGGCUGGCCCCGUGGCCGAGUGGUUAAGUUCGCGCGCUCUGCUGCAGGCGGCCCAGUGUUUCGUUGGUUCGAAUCCUGGGCGCGGACAUGGCACUGCUCAUCAAGCCACGCUGAGGCAGCGUCCCAUAUGCCACAACUAGAAGGACCCACAACGAAGAAUA
Molecule: long non-coding RNA, 730 nt
Filed under: Equus caballus (horse)
Lineage: Eukaryota; Metazoa; Chordata; Mammalia; Perissodactyla; Equidae
Description: lncRNA (ENSECAG00000058857.1)
Source: RNAcentral